RNAcentral lists this ribosomal RNA (506 nucleotides) under uncultured bacterium. RNAcentral describes it as "partial 16S ribosomal RNA". It matches the Rfam family "Bacterial small subunit ribosomal RNA", at positions 30 to 523 of the family's 1533-position model. The record is from RNAcentral.
AUUGAACGCUGGCGGCAGGCUUAACACAUGCAAGUCGAGCGGUAACAGAGAGAAGCUUGCUUCUCUGCUGACGAGCGGCGGACGGGUGAGUAAUGCCUAGGAAUCUGCCUAGUAGUGGGGGAUAACUUGCCGAAAGGUAAGCUAAUACCGCAUACGUCCUACGGGAGAAAGGAGGGGACCUUCGGGCCUUUCGCUAUUAGAUGAGCCUAGGUCGGAUCAGUUAGUUGGUGAGGUAAUGGCUCACCAAGACCGCGAUCCGUAACUGGUCUGAGAGGAUGAUCAGGCACACUGGAACUGAGACACGGUCCAGACUCCUACGGGAGGCAGCAGUGGGGAAUAUUGGACAAUGGGGGGAACCCUGAUCCAGCCAUGCCGCGUGUGUGAAGAAGGUCUUAGGAUUGUAAAGCACUUUAAGUUGGGAGGAAGAGCAGUUAACUAAUAUUUGACUGUUUUGACGUUACCGACAGAAUAAGCACCGGCUAACUUCGUGCCAGCCGCCGCGGUAA